UACGUAGGCAGCAAGCGUUGUUCGGAGUUACUGGGCGUAAAGGGUGCGUAGGCGGCCGUGUAAGUGUGGUGUGAAAUCUCCCGGCUUAACUGGGAGGGUGCGCUACAGACUGCAUGGCUAGAGUGUGGGAGAGGAAAGUGGAAUUCCUGGUGUAGCGGUGAAAUGCGUAGAUAUCAGGAGGAACACCGGUGGUGUAAACGGCUUUCUGGACCAUAACUGACGCUGAUGCACGGAAGCGUGGGUAGCAAACAGG
RNAcentral lists this ribosomal RNA (253 nucleotides) under uncultured bacterium. Its description in RNAcentral is "partial 16S ribosomal RNA". It matches the Rfam family "Bacterial small subunit ribosomal RNA", at positions 524 to 776 of the family's 1533-position model. The record is from RNAcentral.